UUGUGGAGGAGGACGCCGAAGGUGGGGCUAAUGACUGGGGUGAAGUCGUAACAAGGUAGCCGUACCGGAAGGUGCGGCUGGAUCACCUCCUAACAGGGAGACAACAAAAUGUUUAAUAUUAUUAUUUUGUCACCUUAGGUCGAUCGGUACCUCACGUUUUUAAUUUAUUAAGAAUUUCAUUUCCUAAGUUUUUCUAGGUCACACCCAUUAUUUUUCCUGGGCCAUUAGCUCAGGUGGUUAGAGCGCACCCCUGAUAAGGGUGAGGUCCCUGGUUCAAGUCCAGGAUGGCCCAUAUCUCUAUGUUGGGGGUAUAGCUCAGUUGGUAGAGCGCCUGCUUUGCAAGCAGGAUGUCAGCGGUUCGAGUCCGCUUACCUCCACUGAUUACCACCUCUUCCAUAAUCUGUAGAAAGGAAAUGUUUUGAGUUGUGAUCAAAUUCUGAACGAAUCUAGCUUCCUAAUGAAAUCAUUAAGAUGCUGGACUCAGUGAAUCAAUUUCAUUGUUUUCAGAGAACCUUGACAACUGCAUAGACUAUUUUUGAAAAGACAAUAAGCAUCUUUAAUGAUGCAGAUUUAUUAUUUGUGCGAAUGCAUUAAUAACAAUUCUAUUAAGCUGAUGCUUCAUUUUGAAGUUAUUGGUCAAGCUACAA
RNAcentral lists this unclassified non-coding RNA (647 nucleotides) under uncultured Prochlorococcus sp. RNAcentral's name for it is "partial 16S-23S ribosomal RNA intergenic spacer; may also contain 16S ribosomal RNA and 23S ribosomal RNA". The stretch from base 305 to 377 matches the Rfam family "tRNA". Lineage: Bacteria; Bacillati; Cyanobacteriota; Cyanophyceae; Synechococcales; Prochlorococcaceae. The record is from RNAcentral.